Molecule: long non-coding RNA, 591 nt
Filed under: Astyanax mexicanus (Mexican tetra)
Lineage: Eukaryota; Metazoa; Chordata; Actinopteri; Characiformes; Acestrorhamphidae
Description: lncRNA (ENSAMXG00005020918.1)
Source: RNAcentral
UAUCAUCAUUACAUUCACACAUAUAAUGUUUUAUUAUGUUUAAUUCCAUUUUUGUGUCCUUUUUAAGCUCCUGCCCCCUCACCUGUGGAUCCACCCAAAGCAGAAGAUGGUACAAAAGGGGGCACAAACAUGGUGGGCUGGAUCGUACAGGGAUUCAGUCGCAUUGUGCCACAGCCUGUUGUAAAAGCCAAAGAGGAUGGAUCGGAUGCUGUUCAAAGCAUCUGCAUCCUGCAGGACCCCUCAGACAUGGUCCUGGAGCAGGUGGACCCGAACUGGGAGAGGCAGCAGGCGGAUGCUGAGCAGAAGCAGAGCUGCCUCCUGCUGGAGGCCAUGGAUCAGGAGGACGACAUCAAACAGGAGGCGGAGGAAGAUCUCACGGUCUCCAUGGAGGAAAGGCUGCAGCAGGAGCGGUUGGAAGCUGCUCGGAUGGCGGAGGAGUUAGCGCUGCAGGCGGCGGAGAUCGCAGUGAGACAGCUGGAGGAGGAACACACUGGACCCAUAAUAAUGGAGCCUGAACUAUCUGAACCCGACAAUGGAGAACUGUAAGUUACACACACAUAAAAGCACAUAUACAUGCACUGAAACCAUGAU